GAUGAACGCUGGCGGCGUGCCUAAUACAUGCAAGUCGAGCGAACGGACGAGAAGCUUGCUUCUCUGAUGUUAGCGGCGGACGGGUAAGUAACACGUGGAUAACCUACCUAUAAGACUGGGAUAACUUCGGGAAACCGGAGCUAAUACCGGAUAAUAUUUUGAACCGCAUGGUUCAAAAGUGAAAGACGGUCUUGCUGUCACUUAUAGAUGGAUCCGCGCUGCAUUAGCUAGUUGGUAAGGUAACGGCUUACCAAGGCAACGAUGCAUAGCCGACCUGAGAGGGUGAUCGGCCACACUGGAACUGGGACACGGUCCAGACGCCUACGGGAGGCAGCAGUAGGGAAUCUUCCGCAAUGGGCGAAAGCCUGACGGAGCAACGCCGCGUGAGUGAUGAAGGUCUUCGGAUCGUAAAACUCUGUUAUUAGGGAAGAACAUAUGUGUAAGUAACUGUGCACAUCUUGACGGUACCUAAUCAGAAAGCCACGGCUAACUACGUG
This 497-nucleotide ribosomal RNA is filed under the name uncultured bacterium. Its description in RNAcentral is "partial 16S ribosomal RNA". It matches the Rfam family "Bacterial small subunit ribosomal RNA", at positions 28 to 507 of the family's 1533-position model. The record is from RNAcentral.